AGUUAGUAUUAUUAGACCCGAAGCGUUAUGAGCUAGGCAUGGGCAGGUUGAAGAGUUGGGAAACUGACUUGGAGGACCGAACGGGUUGGAGCUGCAAAUCCUUCCGAUGACCUGUGUCUAGGAGUGAAAAGCUCAUCGAAUAACGUGAUAGCUGGUUCUCUCCGAAAUGCAUUAGGGUGCAGCCUGUAUUUUAGUGCUACUAGAGGUAGAGCUCUGAUAAGACUAGGGGUGUCGAGAGACAUUACCAAAUCUUGUUAAACUUCGAAUGCUAGUAGGAAUAAUACAGAGUGAGACUGCGGGGGCAAGCUUCGUAGUCGAGAGGAUAACAGUCCAGACUUCUAAUUAAGGUCCCUAAAGUAUAGCUAAGUGGUAAAGGAGGUGUUUUUACUUUGACAUCCAGGAGGUUUGCUUAGAAGCAGCAAUCCUUUAAAGAAAGCGUAACAGCUCACUGGACAAGUGAAGAUGCGCCGAAGAUGUAACGGGGCUAAGCUAUAUACCGAAAUUGAAGACCUACACUUCAUUGUGUAGUGUGGUAGGAGAGUGUUCUUACAGGAUGAAGCAUAACUGUGAGGUUGUGUGGACUAGUAAGAAGUAAAAAUGCUGACAUGAGUAACGACGCAAAGCGAAAAUCUUUGCUGCCGAAAACCUAAGAAUUCCUACGCAACGUUCAUCGUCGUAGGGUUAGUCGAGACCUAAGGUGAUACCUGAAAAGGUACAUCGAUGGAUAACUGGUUAAUAUUCCAGUACUUAUAUAUUCAGUGAUGUGGUUACGCAUUGGGAUUUGUAAGAGCUUGUUAAGGAUAUGAGUCGAAAAAAUCAGCUUUUCUAACUUCGGUUAGGAGGUGGUUGUAGGAAAAUCCGCAAUCAUUGAUAGCGAGUUUGAUCGGGACGUCCCGACUUGUCGGGAUGAAUUCUUAUCGUUCUGGUGCCAAGAAAACCCACUAAACUUAUGGAUAUAUAACUCGUAUUGAGAUCAGACACUUGUAGGUUGGUAGAGUAUACCUAGGCAAUCGAGAUAACUAAUGGAUAAGGAACUUGGCAAAAUAGCGGGCGUACUUUCGAAAUAAGCCCUGCCCAUAGCAAUAUGGGCUGCAACAAAAGACGUGGGGGGAACUGUUUAUCACAAACACAGCUUGCUGCUAACUCGCAAGAGGAUGUAUAGCAAGUGAUGCCUGUCCAAUGCCAGAAUGUUAUGCUCUCUUGUGCAAGCUCGAGGGUUAAGCACUGGUGAAUGACGGCCGUAACUAUGACGGUCCUAAGGUAGCGAAAUUCCUUGUCAGGUAAGUUCUGACGCGCAUGAAUGGCACAAUCAUCCCCAUACUGUCUUGUCCUUAGACUCGGUGAAAUUACAAUCCUGGUAAAAAUGCCAGGUAGUUGCAGUUAGACGGAAAGACCCUGUGAAGCUUUACUAUAGAUUGAUAUUGGAAUGUAGUAUGUGUUGCUCAGUAUAAGUGGGAGCCUUUGAGGCGGUGGCUUUGGCUAUCGCGGAGGCAAAAUUGAGAUACCACUCUUUAUAUAUAGCAUUUCUAACCCCUAUGUUGGGGAACAGUGUCAGUUGGGUAGUUUACCUGGGGCUGGUGCCUCCUAAAAAGUAACGGAGGCGUGCAAAGGUUUGCUUGUCACGGAUGGAAACCGUGGUGGACGUGUAUUCGCAUAAGCAAGCUUGACUGUGAGACUGACAGGUCGAACAGAUACGAAAGUAGGCGAAAGUGAUCCGGAUCUUCCAUAUGGAAGGGGAUCCGCUCAACGGAUAAAAGUUACUCCGGGGAUAACAGGCUAAUGGAAUCUAAGCGUUCAUAGCGACGAUUCCGUUUGGCACCUCGAUGUCGACUCGUCGCAUCCUGGGGCUGUAGAAGGUCCCAAGGGUUGGGUUGUUCACCCAUUAAAGCGGGACGCGAGUUGGGUUCAGAACGUCGUGAGACAGUUCGGUCCCUAUCUACUGCAACCGUAAGAAAUUUGAGAGAUGCUGUCCCUAGUACGAGAGGACCGGGAUGGACAAGCCUCUGGUAGUACCAGUUGUUCCGCCAGGAGCACCGCUGGAUAGCUAUGCUUGGAAAAGGUAACCGCUGAAAGCAUCUAAGUGGGAAACUUGUCUCAAGAUUAGAUUUCUCUCUCUCUUUAUGAGAAUAAGACCUCCGCGAGACUAGCGGUUUGAUAGGCUUCAUGUGUAAGUCCAGCAAUGGAUUGAGCAAAGAAGUACUAAUCGGUCGAACGAGUUUGUUUC
RNAcentral lists this ribosomal RNA (2224 nucleotides) under Candidatus Peribacteria bacterium. RNAcentral describes it as "partial 23S ribosomal RNA". It matches the Rfam family "Bacterial large subunit ribosomal RNA", at positions 698 to 2925 of the family's 2925-position model. The record is from RNAcentral. Lineage: Bacteria; Candidatus Peregrinibacteriota; Candidatus Peribacteria.